RNAcentral lists this ribosomal RNA (1113 nucleotides) under Salmonella enterica subsp. enterica serovar Typhi. RNAcentral describes it as "partial 23S ribosomal RNA". It matches the Rfam family "Bacterial large subunit ribosomal RNA", at positions 115 to 1168 of the family's 2925-position model. The record is from RNAcentral. Lineage: Bacteria; Pseudomonadati; Pseudomonadota; Gammaproteobacteria; Enterobacterales; Enterobacteriaceae. RNAcentral also lists the same sequence under 1 other name.
CGAAUGGGGAAACCCAGUGUGAUUCGUCACACUAUCAUUAACUGAAUCCAUAGGUUAAUGAGGCGAACCGGGGGAACUGAAACAUCUAAGUACCCCGAGGAAAAGAAAUCAACCGAGAUUCCCCCAGUAGCGGCGAGCGAACGGGGAGGAGCCCAGAGCCUGAAUCAGCAUGUGUGUUAGUGGAAGCGUCUGGAAAGGCGCGCGAUACAGGGUGACAGCCCCGUACACAAAAGCGCAUAUGCUGUGAGCUCGAUGAGUAGGGCGGGACACGUGGUAUCCUGUCUGAAUAUGGGGGGACCAUCCUCCAAGGCUAAAUACUCCUGACUGACCGAUAGUGAACCAGUACCGUGAGGGAAAGGCGAAAAGAACCCCGGCGAGGGGAGUGAAAAAGAACCUGAAACCGUGUACGUACAAGCAGUGGGAGCCCCACCACUAAGCCAGUGGUGAACUCCACAUACGCAUCCUUUGCUGAGGAGACGGUUAACGGAGCGAAAGCGACGUUCAACCUCAAAAGAAGCAGAGGGGGCUUAGUGGUGGGGUGACUGCGUACCUUUUGUAUAAUGGGUCAGCGACUUAUAUUCUGUAGCAAGGUUAACUGUAUAGGGGAGCCGGAGGGAAACCGAGUCUUAACCGGGCGUUAAGUUGCAGGGUAUAGACCCGAAACCCGGUGAUCUAGCCAUGGGCAGGUUGAAGGUUGGGUAACACUAACUGGAGGACCGAACCGACUAAUGUUGAAAAAUUAGCGGAUGACCUGUGGCUGGGGGUGAAAGGCCAAUCAAACCGGGAGAUAGCUGGUUCUCCCCGAAAGCUAUUUAGGUAGCGCCUCGUGAAUUCAUCUCCGGGGGUAGAGCACUGUUUCGGCUAGGGGGCCAUCCCGGCUUACCAACCCGAUGCAAACUGCGAAUACCGGAGAAUGUUAUCACGGGAGACACACGGCGGGUGCUAAUGUCCGUCGUGAAGAGGGAAACAACCCAGACCGCCAGCUAAGGUCCCAAAGUCAUGGUUAAGUGGGAAACGAUGUGGGAAGGCCCAGACAGCCAGGAUGUUGGCUUAGAAGCAGCCAUCAUUUAAAGAAAGCGUAAUAGCUCACUGGUCGAGUCGGCCUGCGCGGAA